This 253-nucleotide ribosomal RNA is filed under the name uncultured bacterium. RNAcentral's name for it is "partial 16S ribosomal RNA". It matches the Rfam family "Bacterial small subunit ribosomal RNA", at positions 524 to 776 of the family's 1533-position model. The record is from RNAcentral.
UACGUAGGUGGCAAGCGUUGUCCGGAUUUAUUGGGUUUAAAGGGUGCGUAGGCGGCUUUGUAAGUCAGUGGUGAAAGCCGAUCGCUUAACGAUCGAACUGCCAUUGAUACUGUAGGGCUUGAGUAUAGAUGAGGUAGGCGGAAUUGACAGUGUAGCGGUGAAAUGCAUAGAUAUUGUCAAGAACACCGAUUGCGAAGGCAGCUUACUAAGUUAUAACUGACGCUGAGGCACGAAAGUGCGGGGAUCAAACAGG